Molecule: ribosomal RNA, 495 nt
Filed under: uncultured bacterium
Lineage: Bacteria
Description: partial 16S ribosomal RNA
Rfam family: Bacterial small subunit ribosomal RNA
Source: RNAcentral
GACGAGCGCUGGCGGCGUGCCUAAUACAUGCAAGUAGAACGCUGAAGGAGGAGCUUGCUUCUCUGGAUGAGUUGCGAACGGGUGAGUAACGCGUAGGUAACCUGCCUGGUAGCGGGGGAUAACUAUUGGAAACGAUAGCUAAUACCGCAUAACAGUAGAUAUCGCAUGAUAUCUACUUGAAAGGUGCAAUUGCAUCACUACCAGAUGGACCUGCGUUGUAUUAGCUAGUUGGUGAGGUAACGGCUCACCAAGGCGACGAUACAUAGCCGACCUGAGAGGGGGAUCGGCCACCCUGGGACUGAGACACGGCCCAGACUCCUACGGGAGGCAGCAGUAGGGAAUCUUCGGCAAUGGACGGAAGUCUGACCGAGCAGCGCCGCGUGAGUGAAGAAGGGUUUCGGAUCGUAAAGCUCUGUUGUAAGAGAAGAACGAGUGUGAGAGUGGAAAGUUCACACUGUGACGGUAUCUUACCAGAAAGGGACGGCUAACUACGUG